CGGGGAUUGCCCUAGUAACGGCGAGAGAAGCGGCAACAGCUCAAAUUUGAAAGCUGGGCUUCGGGUCCGCAUUGUAAUUUGUAGAGGAUGCUUUGGGUGAAACGCCAGUCUAAGUUCCUUGGAACAGGACGUCAUAGAGGGUGAGAAUCCCGUAUGUGACUGGAAAUGUUAACCUAUGUAAAGCUCCUUCGACGAGUCGAGUUGUUUGGGAAUGCAGCUCUAAAUGGGAGGUAAAUUUCUUCUAAAGCUAAAUAUUGGCGAGAGACCGAUAGCGCACAAGUAGAGUGAUCGAAAGAUGAAAAGCACUUUGGAAAGAGAGUUAAAAAGCACGUGAAAUUGUUGAAAGGGAAGCGCUUGCAAUCAGACUUGUUUAAACUCUGUUCGGGCGUCUUCUGACCGGUUUACUCAGUUUGGACAGGCCAGCAUCAGUUUCGGCGGCCGGAUAAAGGCUCUGGGAAUGUGGCCUUCACUUCGGUGAAGGUGUUAUAGCCAGGGUGUAAUACCGCAGCCG
Molecule: ribosomal RNA, 511 nt
Filed under: Aureobasidium sp. 2 GAMM-2015
Lineage: Eukaryota; Fungi; Ascomycota; Dothideomycetes; Dothideales; Saccotheciaceae
Description: eukaryotic LSU rRNA
Rfam family: Eukaryotic large subunit ribosomal RNA
Source: RNAcentral